UGGUGGGUAGUUUGACUGGGGCGGUCUCCUCCCAAAGCGUAACGGAGGAGCACGAAGGUUAGCUAAUCCUGGUCGGACAUCAGGAGGUUAGUGCAAUGGCAUAAGCUAGCUUGACUGCGAGCGUGACGGCGCGAGCAGGUGCGAAAGCAGGUCAUAGUGAUCCGGUGGUUCUGAAUGGAAGGGCCAUCGCUCAACGGAUAAAAGGUACUCCGGGGAUAACAGGCUGAUACCGCCCAAGAGUUCAUAUCGACGGCGGUGUUUGGCACCUCGAUGUCGGCUCAUCACAUCCUGGGGCUGAAGUAGGUCCCAAGGGUAUGGCUGUUCGCCAUUUAAAGUGGUACGCGAGCUGGGUUUAGAACGUCGUGAGACAGUUCGGUCCCUAUCUGCCGUGGGCGCUGGAGAAUUGAGGGGGGCUGCUCCUAGUACGAGAGGACCGGAGUGGACGCAUCACUGGUGUUCGGGUUGUCAUGCCAAUGGCACUGCCCGGUAGCUAAAUGCGGAAGAGAUAAGUGCUGAAAGCAUCUAAGCACGAAACUUGCCCCGAGAUGAGUUCUCCCUGAGACUUUAAGUCUCCUGAAGGAACGUUGAAGACGACGACGUUGAUAGGCCGGGUGUGUAAGCGCAGCGAUGCGUUGAGCUAACCGGUACUAAUGAACCGUGAGGCUUAACCUU
Molecule: ribosomal RNA, 672 nt
Filed under: Klebsiella pneumoniae
Lineage: Bacteria; Pseudomonadati; Pseudomonadota; Gammaproteobacteria; Enterobacterales; Enterobacteriaceae
Also listed under: 5 other names
Description: partial 23S ribosomal RNA
Rfam family: Bacterial large subunit ribosomal RNA
Source: RNAcentral